Molecule: ribosomal RNA, 253 nt
Filed under: uncultured Syntrophobacter sp.
Lineage: Bacteria; Pseudomonadati; Thermodesulfobacteriota; Syntrophobacteria; Syntrophobacterales; Syntrophobacteraceae
Description: partial 16S ribosomal RNA
Rfam family: Bacterial small subunit ribosomal RNA
Source: RNAcentral
UACGGAGGGUGCGAGCGUUAUUCGGAAUUACUGGGCGUAAAGCGCGUGCAGGCGGUCUGGCAAGUCUGAUGUGAAAGCCCCGGGCUUAACCUGGGAAGAGCAUUGGAAACGGUCGGACUUGAGUACUGGAGAGGAAGGGAGAAUUCCCGGUGUAGAGGUGAAAUUCGUAGAGAUCGGGAGGAACACCAGUGGCGAAGGCGCCCUUCUGGACAGCUACUGACGCUGAGACGCGAAAGCGUGGGGAGCAAACAGG